Molecule: long non-coding RNA, 762 nt
Organism: Solanum pennellii
Lineage: Eukaryota; Viridiplantae; Streptophyta; Magnoliopsida; Solanales; Solanaceae
Exons: 2
Source: RefSeq, a predicted model, not a curated record
GCACAUCGAUAGAAUUCGAUUCGAGAUCGGAAACAAGUUGUUGAAUCAAUUCAUCGGAGUUAUAAUUAUCCGACGCACAUGCAAUUAAUAACCGCCGGCUUUGAGAAGAAGUCGUCGGAAACUCACCGGAUCUAUCGCUAUUGCAGUCGCUGAAAGCAGACGAAGAUUCAUUAAUUCCGAGACCGGUAUUUAAUGUCUCCGGCGAGUUUUCAAAGGUUUGCCGUUGUUAUCGGAAAAUGAGAGGUGAUAGCUGAAACGACGGCGUUUGGUUGUUGGAGUUUGAUUUGGGCCUAGUGUGUUAAUGGGCUUUUUGAGAAGAAUUUGAAGAAAAUGGAAAUGGAAGAUAUAAGAGAAGGAGAGAAGAGUACACGUGGAUUAACGCCUAGGGGGGUGAUGGACACGUGGUUGACCGUACAGAAUCCAAGUAGGAAGAGCACGUGCGGCUUUUUAACGCGUUAGUGAAAGGUUCGUUAUUCGAUACUCUUUUUACUUUCUAUUAUAAAAAAAAUUCAUUCGUUAAUAGCUUAGCUCAUAUAUAUUCUUAUCGUAAUAGAUUCAAAUAUACCUUUAUUUGUUUGAGCCGUAUUUAGCUGUGAUCUUGAUCAAUCAACAUUCAUAAUUCGUGUAUCAUUUCAUUGUGAGUCUCGCCUAAAAGGAGACACUAAGGGGAAGGUAUGACGUUAAAUCAACCUCGUGUUUUAUGUUUGGAACCCUUUAGUUGAUCGCACCAAUUGUAAAUACAAUUUGACUUCUAAAAUAAAA